CAACAGCCGCGGGAAUACAGAGGGUGCGAGCGUUAAUCGGAUUUACUGGGCGUAAAGCGUGCGUAGGCGGCUUUUUAAGUCGGAUGUGAAAUCCCUGAGCUUAACUUAGGAAUUGCAUUCGAUACUGGGAAGCUAGAGUAUGGGAGAGGAUGGUAGAAUUCCAGGUGUAGCGGUGAAAUGCGUAGAGAUCUGGAGGAAUACCGAUGGCGAAGGCAGCCAUCUGGCCUAAUACUGACGCUGAGGUACGAAAGCAUGGGGAGCAAACAGGAUUAGAUACCCGAGUAGUCCCUGUCUCUUAUAC
RNAcentral lists this ribosomal RNA (301 nucleotides) under uncultured bacterium. RNAcentral describes it as "partial 16S ribosomal RNA". It matches the Rfam family "Bacterial small subunit ribosomal RNA", at positions 509 to 807 of the family's 1533-position model. The record is from RNAcentral.